GAGUUUGAUCAUGGCUCAGAUUGAACGCUGGCGGAAUGCUUUACACAUGCAAGUCGAGCGGCAGCGCGGGGCAACCUGGCGGCGAGCGGCGAACGGGUGAGUAAUGCAUCGGAACAUGUCCAUGUCGUGGGGGAUAGCCCGGCGAAAGCCGGAUUAAUACCGCAUACGCCCGAGAGGGGAAAGCCGGGGACCGCAAGGCCUGGCGCGAUUGGGUUGGCCGAUGUCCGAUUAGCUAGUUGGCGGGGUAAGAGCCCACCAAGGCGAUGAUCGGUAGCUGGUCUGAGAGGAUGAUCAGCCACACUGAGACUGAGACACGGCCCAGACUCCUACGGGAGGCAGCAGUGGGGAAUUUUGGACAAUGGGGGCAACCCUGAUCCAGCCAUUCCGCGUGAGUGAAGAAGGCC
RNAcentral lists this ribosomal RNA (404 nucleotides) under uncultured beta proteobacterium. RNAcentral describes it as "bacterial SSU rRNA". It matches the Rfam family "Bacterial small subunit ribosomal RNA", at positions 9 to 416 of the family's 1533-position model. Lineage: Bacteria; Pseudomonadati; Pseudomonadota; Betaproteobacteria. The record is from RNAcentral.